Molecule: non-coding RNA, 31 nt
Filed under: Homo sapiens (human)
Lineage: Eukaryota; Metazoa; Chordata; Mammalia; Primates; Hominidae
Source: RNAcentral
GCCUUAUUUCUUCAUGCCACCUGGAAAGGGU